GGUGGGCUUGGCACGCAUCUGGAAUAGAUCGCUGGGAGGGAGCUGACUGCUCCUGCGCUUCCUUCCUUCCAGGAACAAACCCUGAAUCCCCGAUUCCCCAAUCCAGCUAGCCUUCAACCCUCCCGUCCGGCAGCGGCACAACGGCAGGCCGGCAGCUCAUGGAGGACGCAGGUCCGGAAGGGCGACGGCGAGAAUGAUGGGCAGCAGCGGCAACCUGGCCCAACAGCAUCUGCCGGCCGGAAGCGCCGGCGAGUCGACCUCGGCGAUUCUGGCUCGUCGGCCUCCACUUCCAGGGGGACAAGACACACAGCAUCUUUCAACAAUACUGCUCAAACAGGUCACACAGCUGUAGGUGAUUGGCAAGAGGAGAUAUAUCAAACAAUUAAGAGCUUGAAGAACCAAUACGUUGCAGAACUCAGUAGAUUGUUCAAUAAGGUGUCUGUAGCUGUACAUCAUGCUGAUAGCAUCAUACCACCUCAACAACCACCUCAAAAUUGAAGAGCUUUAAAAUAAUGGUGGAAUGUAUAUUAUGAUUUCUGCAAAUUAGCAAGAGUAAUAUCCAACCUGCCAUGAGGGACAAAGUUCCUUUAUACGAGAAACAGAUCAUCAGUAUCUUGAAUUCACAGAGAAGGGAACCAGCGCAGGCACAAGUACAGCAUGCAGGUGCAAAUGAACCCUUAUAAAGAUUAAACUGAAGAGUACCAGGCUUACACUACGCAAGAGAUUGAACUCCAAUGAAAAGCAGGCUCGACUGCAUUUUCGUAAAAAAAACAGUGGUGACCAUCAGACUUCAUCAGAAAAGUUCUGGGCAUUAUUGUCAUUGGUUUUGUUCUGACAGGGGAGGAGUAAUUUGAAUCGGGGCAAUAUGGAGUUUUUGUCGGGAAUAUUUGCUGCAACUACAAAUGCACCACGGGUAAUACUCCUGAAAGUGGUCGAAACUGUUGCUUGUCUUAUACUGUCAGCUCCAUGCACUCUUCUUAUCUCUAUGCUUUACCAUUUUAGGAUUUAUACAGUGUGUACACUUCAAAGUUUGCAACGAGAAAAGUCCAUAUAUUUCUAUGCUGUCAGUUAAAUUUUUCCUUGAUAAAUGCGAUGUUGUUUCUAUUAAAUAACAAAGGAGGUACAGGUGUAUGAA
Molecule: long non-coding RNA, 1135 nt
Organism: Lolium perenne
Lineage: Eukaryota; Viridiplantae; Streptophyta; Magnoliopsida; Poales; Poaceae
Source: RefSeq, a predicted model, not a curated record